This 406-nucleotide ribosomal RNA is filed under the name uncultured bacterium. RNAcentral's name for it is "partial 16S ribosomal RNA". It matches the Rfam family "Bacterial small subunit ribosomal RNA", at positions 30 to 526 of the family's 1533-position model. The record is from RNAcentral.
AUUGAACGCUGGCGGCAGGCCUAACACAUGCAAGUCGAACGAGUGGCGGACGGGUGAGGAAUGUCUGGGAAACUGCCUGAUGGAGGGGGAUAACUACUGGAAACGGUAGCUAAUACCGCAUACCAUCAGCGGUGCCCAGAUGGGAUUAGCUAGUUGGUGGGGUAACGGCUCACCAAGGCGACGAUCCCUAGCUGGUCUGCGAGGAUGACCAGCCACGCGGGCACUGAGACACGGUCCAGACUCCUACGUGAGGCAGCUGUGGUGAAUAUUGCCCAAUGGGCGCAAGCCUGAUGCAGCCAUGCCGCGUGUAUGAAGAAGGCCUUCGGGUUGUAAAGUACUUUCAGCGGGGAGGCGUUACCCGCAGAAGAAGCACCGGCUAACUCCGUGCCAGCAGCCGCGGUAAUUC